CCUACGGGUGGCUGCAGUCGAGAAUCUUCCGCAAUGGGCGCAAGCCUGACGGAGCAAUGCCGCGUGAGGGAUGAAGGCCUUCGGGUCGUAAACCUCUGUCGCCCGGGACGAAGUCAAUGACGGUACCGGGAGAGGAAGCUACGGCUAACUACGUGCCAGCAGCCGCGGUAAUACGUAGGUAGCGAGCGUUAUUCGGAUUUACUGGGCGUAAAGGGUCCGCAGGAGGCCUGCCAAGUCUGGUGUGAAAGCCCACAGCUCAACUGUGGAACGGCACCGGAAACUGGCGGGCUAGAGUGCAUGAGGGGUGAAUGGAACUCCAGGUGUAGCGGUGGAAUGCGUAGAUAUCUGGAAGAACACCGAUGGCGAAGGCGAUUCACUGGCAUGCAACUGACUCUCAGGGACGAAAGCGUGGGUAGCAAACAGGAUUAGAUACCCCAGUAGUC
RNAcentral lists this ribosomal RNA (443 nucleotides) under uncultured bacterium. RNAcentral's name for it is "partial 16S ribosomal RNA". It matches the Rfam family "Bacterial small subunit ribosomal RNA", at positions 338 to 795 of the family's 1533-position model. The record is from RNAcentral.